AGGAAAGCUACCCAUGCUCACCUUAAACCCCCACAUGGAAGUCUCCUCCCUGACAGGUGCUAUAUGAAAACCCAUUUCAUUUCAACAUGAGUAACAGAAAAGGAUUUUCUGUAAACCCCAUAUAAAUGUACUAUAUGCAAAAAAGAUAGAAAUAAAUAGAAUAAUAUGACAAGAGACAAUGAAAGCAUGUUAGAUAAGGCUACAAAUCAAUUGGAAACUGUAAAAUAUAAACUAAAGGAAAUUAAUAAUGUUAAUUCACCUAUGAAUAGACCAGAAUGAUUCAGAAACAGGAAAACUCAGAAAUAAAGUAAUAAAAAGAAUACUUGCGGAACUUUGGGGGAAAAUUAUUUUAGAAUGGAGCCUAAUUUGGAAGGAACAUAAAAAAAAAUAGGCAAUACAGUAAGUAUAGCAAGAGGAAAACAAAAAGAAUUUAA
RNAcentral lists this long non-coding RNA (434 nucleotides) under Bos taurus (domestic cattle). RNAcentral describes it as "long non-coding RNA NONBTAT025282". The record is from RNAcentral. Lineage: Eukaryota; Metazoa; Chordata; Mammalia; Artiodactyla; Bovidae.